This 75-nucleotide microRNA precursor is filed under the name Petromyzon marinus (sea lamprey). Its description in RNAcentral is "Pma-Mir-19-P2h_pre stem-loop". Lineage: Eukaryota; Metazoa; Chordata; Hyperoartia; Petromyzontiformes; Petromyzontidae. The record is from RNAcentral.
AGUUUUGCAGGGUUUGCAGUCAGCCUCGGCUCGCAUCUUCCCUCCGACCUGCUGUGCAAAUCCAUGCAAAACUGA